This 513-nucleotide ribosomal RNA is filed under the name uncultured bacterium. RNAcentral describes it as "partial 16S ribosomal RNA". It matches the Rfam family "Bacterial small subunit ribosomal RNA", at positions 28 to 523 of the family's 1533-position model. The record is from RNAcentral.
GAUGAACGCUGGCGGCGUGCCUAAUACAUGCAAGUCGAGCGAACAGAUGAGAAGCUUGCUUCUCUGAUGUUAGCGGCGGACGGGUGAGUAACACGUGGGUAACCUACCUAUAAGACUGGGAUAACUCCGGGAAACCGGGGCUAAUACCGGAUAAUAUUUUGAACCGCAUGGUUCAAUAGUGAAAGACGGUUUCGGCUUUCACUUAUAAAUGGACCCGCGCCGUAUUAGCUAGUUGGUAAGGUAACGGCUUACCAAGGCGACGAUACGUAGCCGACCUGAGAGGGUGAUCGGCCACACUGGAACUGAGACACGGUCCAGACUCCUACGGGAGGCAGCAGUAGGGAAUCUUCCGCAAUGGGCGAAAGCCUGACGGAGCAACGCCGCGUGAGUGAUGAAGGUCUUCGGAUCGUAAAACUCUGUUGUUAGGGAAGAACAAAUUUGUUAGUAACUGAACAAGUCUUGACGGUACCUACCAGAAAGCCACGGCUAACUACGUGCCAGCCGCCGCAGUAA